Molecule: non-coding RNA, 3628 nt
Organism: Camellia sinensis
Lineage: Eukaryota; Viridiplantae; Streptophyta; Magnoliopsida; Ericales; Theaceae
Source: RefSeq, a predicted model, not a curated record
CCUAAUUUCCGGAGAUUGGCCCAAUCAUAGUUCCAUGGAAUGAUGCUCCUAUUUACGGCUUUACAUAUGCACUAUCAACUCCACGAGUGUCCCUCCACCUGCUUCUCUGAAAUUGGGUGAGGGAUUGAUUACUUCUAAUCCCAGACCUGCUCAAAUUGCUGGAAAGAAUAAAAGGAGAAGCAAACCUCUACUGAAAGAUACCAUCUCCACCAAGAUCCAGAAAAUUAAGUCUGUGGAGAUCAAUGAUGAUGCACAUGACCCCCAGAAGGUUGUCCUUCCAAAGGAACUGCAGCCACGGAAGAAGAGUGUUAAGGUAAAGACCAAAAGAGACCCAUCAAUCACGGAUUCAUCAGAGUUCAAUCCUUCUGAGGAAGAAGGAAAGGAGAAGAAAGAAGGGAAGGAUAAGAAAGAGAGGAAGAGAAAAGAAGAAAAUAAUAGCAAUAAAGUAGAAGAGAGAGAUAGGUUAAAGAAGACAAAGAAAGAUGCUAGUCUGAAUGAAUCAGCCAAAGAGAAGAUCCUAGAAGUCUAGAAGGUUAACCUUGGGUGUUCUUUACAUGAUGAGACCCCUUUGAUUUUGAUGAAACAGGAAAAUUCAUCAACUAAGGAUGAUGAAAUAACUACUACCCUCCAUGCCAAGACUUCAGCGAUUGGAGCAGAAACCACAGAACCAGUGGAACAAACCAAUUACUCAGUCAUGGUGUUUUCCUCCCUUCUCUCCAACAAGGUCUCAUAUCCUAUUAGCAAAGAUGCUAUCGAGAGUUCCAGUCCUGAGAUUUCAAAAAAGUAAGUAAAAGAUUCGGCAGAUGAUUUUAUUGAUCUGGAUGUCUUUUUCUCUGAGCUGGAGGUUGAGGUUAAUCCUGAAAGGUAAGAAGCUUCCACUGUCCAGCCUGAGGCUCUUGCUUGCACCAUUUCAGUGUCUCAACCAAGUUGCAAAGUCAUUGAAAAAGCAAAUGAGAUCUUUAAGAAUAUUCUCCCAACUCCAUUCAAGGAUUUAGUACACCCUGACCGAUGUAUUGAGCUAGAAUUGGUCCUUUCUACACUGCUUUGGGCCUCUGGUUUUAAUCCAGAGCAAUACGAGGCCUUGAGAAGGUUCAAGGAAGAAUUCCCAGUCCUUACUGUUGACUACAAAGUCUCCAAGGCCACUCAAGAGGACUGUGAGGGCAAGCUCAAUGCCAUUGAAAUUUUAUCAGCCAAGCUGGUGGAGGGAUUGGUUAACUAUAAGAAGAUGAGGACCGGUAGGCAGAAUUUAAAGGAGGAGGAGCAAGAUACCGGGGCUGAGAUUCUUCGGCUGAAGAUAAGGUUGGCUAAAGUGGUCAAAGAGAGGGAGGAACUGGAAAAGAUGAUGCAGGAGCUAACUGAGAUCACCUGUGCCAAAAAUAUUCAACAUGAAAAAGCCAAGGCUGAUAUCACUGGUCUAAUGGUCAGGAAAAGGAGAGCUCAAUGGUUUCUAGCUCGAGCUGAAAAAACAUGGGCCGAAUUCAAGGCCAUGUUUUCUUGAGAAUCGCCGACCUUGUAUUUGCAGAUAUUAUUGGCAGCUAUAUUUUGAAUUGUUACCAUAUCCAGCCUUCAAUUUCAUUAUCCGUCUCAGUAGUAUGAGCUAAUGAGGUGACUGUGCCACACUUCAUCAUUUGCCCCCUCUUUAACCGCAGAAAACUUCUACCAGUGUACCACAUUGAGCCCAUGAUUCACAUGUUAGAAUCAACUUCAAGAGCUAUUAGACCUGUACUCUCUGAUUUUAGUUUCUGCUUGAUGCUCUCUUUCUCCUGGCAAAGAUUGGCCUGCCCCAGCCUGGUUUUUCUCAUGAUGGUUGGAAUCUACAAGAAGAUACAAAGGCUCUUCAAUUAUUGUAGGUGAUUUUGGAAAUGAGAACGUUGAGCUUGUUAGAAGUAUUGUGCAGCUAAAAGUUGCUAAAGCAGUUAUAUUGGGAAACCAUGAUGCCUGGAGAACUCAACAAUUUGCUGAAAGGAGGAAGGACCGAGUCCAACUACAGUUGGAAUGGUGAGCAUAUACUUUCUCUUUUUUCUCAUUAAUAUAUGAAAGGGUUUAAUUGCACAUAUUCUGGAUAAUUUAUUGUUGUAUGAUGCUUUAUUAUUUAAGAAAUGCUAGAGAGCCCAAAUUUUAUACCCACAAAUUCACUCACAAUGGUGUGGCAAGAGAGUUGGGCCUAUGUAUUCGAAUGUGUGACAAAUCAAAAGUUGACACCUAUUAUGCCACAUCAUUGUGAGUCAAAUUUGGGAUCUCAAAUAUUUUCCUUAUUAUUUAUUAACUUUUAGAUGUUCAGUAUUUUCGGCAUCUUCCUGUCCUACCAUCUAUAUCACACUAAAAAUAUUUGGCAUUGCUUGUUGUGACUUCAUAUUUCUUGAUGUCAACUAGUUAACCUUUGACCACCUUCUCUUUUACUUAUUGUUUCCUUCUUUUGUGACAAAUGGGAUCACAGAAGAAGGCCACAUAGUAAGCCAAUGGGUGAAAUUUUGGUAGCUAGAUAAGAUCAAGGUCACAUUUUCAGACUAAGACUAGAAUGCACCCCAGGAAAGCCACUACUGCAAGAAAGCAAAUUGAUUGGUUUAAUUAUCCAAGCAAACCAUGUAGUCAUGGACAAUAUAUAAAUUUGAAUUAAAAUAGCGAAACCAUGUGUUUGUGGUUUGGGGAUCAUUGAAAAUCAUUGUGAAGCCUCUUGAAUACUAAAAACUUGAUAGUAUAGGUGCUUUCAGAGUAUAGGAAGAUAUUAUGGAGGAGCAUCCUGCACAUCCAUUGGCAAUACCAAAUGAAAUAGCUAUUGAAUAACUAAUCUCGUGUUUUGAUCUUGAAAGUGUUUGGUUUUUUACACUCCAUUUAUAGACACCGGGAGGUAAGAUCCUGGGUGAGAUCCUAGAUGUAGAUCAGGAGGUAAGAUCCUACAAGUGAGAUCCUGAUCCUUGGCACACUCAUGUGGUGAUGUGUCACUACCAUUAAUAGAGAUAGACCCAUGUACCUACACAACACAAACCUAGACUUGUUUUGUUUCAUGAAAUUGACAACAACCUAAAUCCUCACUCUACAUCCUAUAAUCAGAUUUUGUCUUUAACAAAAGUUGAAUUAAAAUUAAAUUAGGAAAAAGUUGUAGGGCUAUUUAUGGGCUUUUUAUUCUCCUAGUAAGAGUCUUUUGUGUGUCAAUAAUUACCUUUCACUCGCUUAAUUAAAAUUCUUAUAAAAUUGACCCGAUCUUUUGCUAAAAUAUUUGAUCAGGGUACAAAGGUUCUAUUGCAUCUGUUUUGGGUAAGUCAUACUUAUAUAGAUAUAAAACAACGUCCAAUUAGCACACAUUAAUGUGUUUGGGAGGGGAAAUAUUGAGAACACACUUAACCUUUAACAUAUCAUACUUAUAUAGAUAUACUAGAUUUAAAUGUACAUCAAAAUCUAUUAAGACCAAUCUCCUCAAGUGUCUCUAUUCCAUGGUUGUCAAAAUCUAGAUCCUGAUCUUACAAUCCAUUUGGGCACAAUUGAUCCGGAUCGUGUAAAAAAUCCCUCACAAAUAGGAUCUUUCGAUCCUGGUAAUAGGAUCUUAUAACAUUAUGGAAUCCCGAUCUGAAUCUAAUCCAAUUUGUAAGCCUUGUUUUGUAUUGUAUGGCCUAUUUUAUUAUAAAUUUUA